Molecule: ribosomal RNA, 438 nt
Filed under: uncultured bacterium
Lineage: Bacteria
Description: partial 16S ribosomal RNA
Rfam family: Bacterial small subunit ribosomal RNA
Source: RNAcentral
AACGAACGCUGGCGGCAUGCCUAACACAUGCAAGUCGAACGAGACCUUCGGGUCUAGUGGCGCACGGGUGCGUAACGCGUGGGAACCUGCCCUUAGGUUCGGAAUAACUCCCCGAAAGGGGUGCUAAUACCGGAUAAUGUCUUCGGACCAAAGAUUUAUCGCCUUUGGAUGGGCCCGCGUUGGAUUAGCUAGUUGGUAGGGUAAAAGCCUACCAAGGCGACGAUCCAUAGCUGGUCUGGGAGGAUGAUCAGGCACACUGGGACUGAGAGACGGCCCAGACUCGAACGGGGGGCAGCAGAGGGGAAGAUGGCACAGUGGGCGCAAGCCUGAUGAAGAGACGCCGCGUGGGGGAUGACGGCGGGCGGGGAGGAAACUCCUUUCGCUAGGGACGAAGCUUUUGUGACGGUACCUAGAUAAGAAGCACCGGCUAACUACGUG